UGCUGUUCAAACCCAAUAAGAACUAUGUGGCAGAGCUGGAGAAAAAGGACUAUCUUGGAAAAGCCAAGGUACCCACCAUCCCCAUUAUCACAUCAAUACAGUGUGCAAUGUUACUGAAGAGAUCCCUUUUCUGUUUGGCCAGUAAAUUGUUUUUUAUUUAUAGGUUGUAUCUUCUAUUGUACCCGCAGAUGACUUUUCUGGGUUUGCUCCACUUCAGCCUCAAGUUGACAAUGUUCCAUCUACACCAAAAGUCCCAGAAGUACUAAGGGUAUUUGAAGGUGAGCCACACACUGUUCUCUAUGAGUUUUACCCUGAGACCAAAGAGGAGCUGGCUGUGUUGCCUGGCAACAUUGUCUUCGUUCUUCAGAAAGGAGCUGACAACUGGGCAUCUGUUGUUUUCAAU
Molecule: long non-coding RNA, 403 nt
Organism: Sinocyclocheilus rhinocerous
Lineage: Eukaryota; Metazoa; Chordata; Actinopteri; Cypriniformes; Cyprinidae
Exons: 3
Source: RefSeq, a predicted model, not a curated record